Amphiprion ocellaris (clown anemonefish) is the source of this 2962-nucleotide long non-coding RNA. RefSeq lists it as uncharacterized. The record is from RefSeq and is a predicted model, not a curated record. The transcript is spliced from 3 exons. NCBI's taxonomy places the organism in Eukaryota, Metazoa, Chordata, Actinopteri, Pomacentridae.
ACCAAUCAAACGCGACCUCCAGCUGCCUGUCAGGCAUAUUUAUCCAGGGCUUGUCUACAAUUUUCUGCAGCCUGGUUACCGCUCAUCGCUUCCAGCCCGGAGGCAAAUCUAACGCAAGCUGUGCGUCAGGUUCGUCAAGUGUGUGGUUCACCAAGCAUUUAAUUCAGAAAUAAGGACGCAAGGUUUGUUCAAAUAAGUUCCGUUACAGUACGAGUUCAUUUCGGUCGCUUUCUCCUCCAGUCUGCAGUUUAUUGUUGUGCAGCGGCGCCGCCUGCUGCUCGGACUGCGUCGGUUCAACUGGAGCUUUUACGCAGAUGCGUAAUUGUGCCAAAAAGGUGCCAAAAACUGAUUGCGCUCUACUUGCUAAAACGGAAUCACACAGUUAGUGCUUUGAUCUCCAUUAAACGGUCACAACUUGCAUGUUUAGAAAGGAGCUUUUCCCAGUUGUACUACGACAGCAACUGACAGCUUUUCUUGUUAAAACUGAAUCACCCAGUUUAUGUACAUCUCCAGCUGCUUUUAUCUGGAUUAAAACAGCCUUGUUGUGCAAAUACAUGAACUUUAUAUCUGUGGUGAUGCUAAAAAGAGGUCUCCAAUUUACAAUGUAAUCAGGUCUAACAUGUAGGAUAAUUAUAGGCAGUACUAUAGUAUUUUUUUCUCCCAGUGUUAAAGGAUUAUAAUUCUGUGACUUACAGAUGGAGUUUUAUGUGUAGCCAAUGAGCUAAGAUUUUUAAAAUUUAACUCAUGAAUGAAACUGACUCAUUCUGAUGCAUUAAUAAUAUUUCAUUCACGAGAAAGGGGAGGAUUGUUAAGAUGUGGGGCUCAAAGCAGGUAAAGUAAUGCAGGCAUAAUUGGAAUUGCUCCCAGUCAAAGCACAACACUGGUGCAAAAAAAUAAUAGUCUGUCAAAUACUGGUUAUCCUUGUGUGUCUUCAUUAUUUUAACCUGUUUGGCCCAGAUCAUUAUGGAAUACAGUUUUAUUCAACAUUAACUAAAUAAAUAUUCUUAUAAAAUAAAUAAUGGCCGUGAAUAUUCCUGAAUAAAUAAAUGUACAGAAAUGUAAGGAAAGUCCCCUGGAAUAAAUGAAAGUAAAAAUUAUCCAUUGAAUAAUCAAUCUUGUAUAUAUUUUUUGAUCCAUUCUCCAAAAAAAAAAAAAAAAUUUUAGCUUAUUUCAUAGCUAUUGCCAUUUCUUAUGAAAAAAAAUGUGAAAACAUUAAUAUUUUAGAAUUCAUUUCUUAUUUGAUAGUUAUUUUAUAGAAGAAAAUUCUUUUAAGAAAAGUAGAAUUUAUUUCAUAGCUAUGUCAUUGGAAAAUUUACUUACAUAACGUCAUAAAAUGGAAUUUCAGUCAGUCUUUGUUGUAGUUUUAACCAGUUGAAACAGUUUUAAAAGACUACUUUAACUCAUUUAAUGCCGUUUUCCACCAACCAAAUGACUGCAGCCCCUUUACUAUGACUGACCUUAUUAAUGUUUUAAUGAUUUAAUUUAUGAAGAUUGUAUUUUUUUUUUUUUACAAUUACAGCCCAUAGAAUAACAGCAUUUUUUUUUUUUUUUUUUUACAUGAAACACUUCUACAAAUUGUAAUAAUUAAAGCGUAGUUUCCAAAUAUAUCAAACACAUGCAGCCUAAAUAUGGCAAACAAUACCAAUAGGGUCCGUGUACGGAUCUGGUAAUUGGAUUUUACGUUCUGAAACGGGUAUUGAAAAACAAAAAACGAGUGGUUAUUUUAUUUGCGUAUUAAAAUAUGAAAAUUAAAAUUGAAAUACAAGGCGUUUUUCCUUUCAUGAUCAAAAAGGGAUAUACGAAUUUUUUUUUUAAAUGCUUUGAUUUUCGUUUUAUAUUUAGAAGAACAAGAAAGUAAAAUCAGUAAGAGACAGAAACGAAAAAAGAUCAGUUUUUUCAUUUUCUGAGACCGGAAGUGGUCAUCAGCAAGAGUGGAGCCAAACAGAGUAGGGUGCAUAGACUGUACAUAAUUUUUUUUUCGUGAGUUUUCAUGGUCAAAAUGAGAGAUCAGGUGGCCGAUCUUAAAAUAAAUCAAUAUUGAUUUUUUUUAUAGAACGUUAAAGUUUUGCGAAGCCAAGGGGCGGGACUACUUGAUUGACAGUCCGGGCUGGAAUGAUUGACAGGUCCUAUGGAGGAAGCAGCAGAGACUCUGCUCUCCUCGUUUGGAUUAAUUCUGAUAUAAUAACUGUUGGUUUAUUUAUCGGUGGAGCAGCAGAACAUUUUCCACAGACAGUUUUCCUGCCCGUUGGCUUGUUUUAACCAGUUUUCUACCUUCGGCUGAUUCUACCAGCAGACACUGAAAGGACUCUGAUAGUUCGAGUGAAAGCAGCAGUUCCUCCUUAAGGUCAGAGAUUGCAGCAUCUGAGGGCCUCUUCAAAAGAAGACGUAGUUGAUGAAGGCGUUCUGGAGCAGGACCAGAAAGACCAUGACCAAGCAGCCUUGAGAUCUUAGGCAGCGUCUCCCUCAGGUCCCUCUCUAUCUCCCCACACAUCCACCAAGCACUGGAACACAUCUCCGAAGUUCUGCCGGGCCAGCUCAGCUUCCCUUCAGAAGAAGUUCCACCAGAUGAAGGAGCCUUUUGAGAGGCAGCUGGCAUCGUGAUUGGACUGUACUUUGGUCUGUUCCAAUCCAGCUUCAGCUCCAGAGACGGCAGGCGGGACGAGUCAACGGAGGCCGAGUGGAUGAAGGCAUGCAGCUGAGUACAAUCCAGAAAACAACAGAGGAGGAGUGCAGUGGCCAGAACACACAGAGUAGUAUCCUAUCCUAUGUCUCUUAGAAAACAUCAUAGUAUAGCCUCUGGUAUGAAAAAACGCCAUCAUAUACAUCGUAUAUUAUACAAAUAACAAAUGGAAGGAAAGAGACAUACAUUGUAGAAUUGUAGUAAUUGUGGGCUGACUGAUUUACUGAUUAUCAGUAUUUUAUUUUUUACUGAUUUACGGUAAUAAAUACAUUUAAAAAUGGC